AAAAUAAGGAAAACAUGUUACAAAAUCAGAUCAUGUAAAUAUGGUUUAGGGAGAGAAAGGAAGGCAGAGUGGAAAUGUGUUGACUUACAUCAGAGAUUUCAGCAGAAUCCACUCCCCUGACCUGUCCUUGGAGAUGACUCAGAAUCUGCUGACACUGCAUGAGAAGAUUAUCAGAACCACAUCCUCAAUAACAACAGCUCCUGAAAUGGUGACUGAUGACUGCUGCAUCGAUGCACUCUCUAAUACAAAAGCAUUGUAUUUCAAUAAUCUGACUGGUCGGUCACUGUAUCGAUGCACUCUAAUACAUAUGACUAUGGUCUACCGACUAAUUGGGAUAUUUGGUCCAAAUGUUUUUAUUUGUUUCUGUCAAUAGUGAUGCAGCUGAACAAGUGUAGUCAGUGCCAGUAUAGAUGUAUGGACCAAACCUGUCAUCAUUUGAAAUAAAUGAAUGCAUGCACAUAUAAAUAGAUAAAUAAAAGCACACAUGAAUUGAUGAAUGAAUGCCAGGGCUUGUCCUCUUGUCCGGGACAAGUGAAAAUAAAAAAAUCAUAAUCAUGUAAUAACACCAACAAAAAAAACAAUUCAAAAUAUUUUAUAUUUCAGACUCUUCAAAUAGCCACCCUUGAUGACAGCUUUGCACACUCUUGGCAUUAUAUCAACCAGCUUCAUGAGGUAGUCAUCUGGAAUGUGUUUCAACUAACAGGUGUGCCUUCUUAAAAGUUAUGUUGUAGAAUUUCCUUUCCUUCUAAAUGCGUUUCAGCCAAUCAGUUGUGUUGUGACAAGGUAGCAGAGGUAUAUAGAAGAUAGCCCUAUUUGGUAAAAGACCAAGUCCAUAUUAUGGCAAGAACAACUCAAAUAAAUAAAGAGAAACGACAGUCCAUCAUUACUUUAAGACAUGAAGGCCAGUCAAUACGGAAAAUGUCAAGAACUUUGAAAGUUUCUUCAAGUGCAGUUGCAAAAACCAUCAAGCGCUAUGAUGAAACUGUCUCUCAUGAGGACCACCACAGGAAUGGAAGACCCAGAGUUAACUAUGCUGCAGAGGAUAAGUUCAUUGCAGCCCAAAUAAAAGCUUCACAGAGUUCAAGUAACAGACACAUCUCAACAUCAACUGUUCAGAGGAGGCUGUGUGAAUCAGGCCUUCAUGGUUGAAUUGCUGCAAAGAAAUCACUACUAAUGGACACCAACAAGAAAAAGAGACUUGUUUGGGCCAAGAAACACGAUCAAUGGACAUUAAACCGGUGGAAAUUUGCCCUUUGGUCUGGAGUCCAAAUUGGAGAUAUUUGGUUGCAACCGCCGUGUCUUUGUCAGACGCGGUGUGAGUUAACGGAUGAUCUCCGCAUGUGUGGUGGCCACUGUAAACCAUGGAAGAGGUGGUGUUAUGGUGCUUUGCUGGUGACAGUCUGAUUUAUUUAGAAUUCAAGGCCCACUUAACCAGCCUGGCCACCACAGCAUUCUGCAGUGAGACAACAUCCCAUCUGGUUUGGGCUUAGUGGGACUCCAGGCUUUGUAAGGGCUAUUUGACCAAGAAGGAGAGUGAUGGAGAGCUGCAUCAGAUCACCUGGCCUCCACAAUCCGCCAACCUCAACCAAAUUGCGAUGGUUUGGGAUGCGUCGAACCGCAGAGUAAAGGAAAAGCAGCCAACAAGUGCUCAGUAUAGGGGAACUCCUUCAAGACUGUUGUAAAAGCAUUCCAGUUGAAGCUAGUUGACAGAAUGCCAAGAGUGUGCAAAGCUGUCAUCAAGGCACAGGGUGGCUACUUUGAAGAAUCUCAAAUAUAUUUUACAUUUGUUUAACAUUUUUUGGUUACUACUCUGACCCAGAAAAUAGAAUAUGCAUAUUAUUAGUAGAUUUGAAUAGAAAACACCCUGAAGGUUCUAAAACUGUUUGAAUGGUGUCUGUGAGUAUAACAGAACUCAUAUGGCAGGCAAAAAACCUGAGAAAAAUUGAAUCAGGAAGUGGGAGAAAUUAGAAAUGUAGUUUGUUUUGAAUCCCUUGAAAAACUACAGUGACAGGAUUUACGUUACACCUCCUAAAUCUUCCAUUGGCUGUCAACAAUCUUUAGGAACUGGUUUCAACCGUCAGCUGUUACCGGGCAGAUCAUUUUUGGCUCAGUCAAUCAUUGGCCAGUCUGAGGAGAGGUGUAUUAUGAUGCGCGUGCACGUGACGUUAUCGUUUUUAUAUUUUUCUUCUGGGAUGAAUAGCUAAUGCCCGGUUGUAAAAUGAUCGCAAUUUUACGUAAAAAAAUACCCUAAAGGAUUGAUUGUAAACAUCGUUUGACGUGUUUCUACAAACGGUAAUGGAACUUUGAACAUUUCGUCUAUGAAUUUGCGUCCACGCCACAUGGUAUUGUAAAGUGUUCUGGAUGGGUCAACAAAACAGACGUAUUUGGACUUUGCAGAACAAAUGAACAUUUCUUGUGGAAGUGGGUGCCCAUCCGAGUGCAUUCCGCCGAAGAUCAGCAAAGGUAAGUAAAUAUUUCAAACAUAUUGUUAGAGAUUUGUCGACGCCGCGGUUGUAGGCUAACUGUAUAGCUUAGCAUUGAAGGCUAAGUUCUGUACUCAGAAUAUUGAACAAUGUGCUUUUUCCAUAACGUUAUUUUGAAAUCUGACAAAGUGGUUGCAUAAAGGAGUAGAUUAUCUCAAAUUUUUUAAAUAAUUGUUAUAAAUUUUGUCAACGUUUAUGAGUUCUUCUGUAAAUUAAAUGUGCCUAUUCACCGGAAGUUAUGGGGAGAAAACAUUUUCUGAACGUCACGCGCCAAUGUAAAAAUUGGGUUUUUGGAUAUAAAUAUAAACUUGAUCGAACAAAAAAAUGCAUGUAUUCUCUAACAUGAUGUCCUAGGAGUGUCAUCUGAUGAAGAUUGUCAAAGGUUUGUGCUUAAUUUUAGCUGUAUAUCUGGUUUUGUGAUGGCUAUCGUGCUUGGAAAGAAAAAAAAAAAGCUUUUUUUUUGGUUGCUGAGGUGCUAUGCUAAAAUAAUGUAAUGUUUUGCUUUCACCGUAAAGCCAUUUUGAAAUCGGACAAUGUGAUUGGAUUAACGAGUAGAGUAUCUUUAAAAUGCCGUAUAAUACUUGAAUUUUAAUUUUGAGAUUAUUUUGUUUUUAAUAUCGCGCCGUGCUAUCUCACUGGUUGUUGUCCAACCAAGGUUUAGCUAAAAUACAAGAAAAUAUAAACUUUUGAUGUUAAUUUGACAAAAGCUGGAUCCCUUCUAGCCAUGAACCUGUCAGUUGCUCUCGUGUUAUUACGUCGCCAACAUUUCGAGAAUUAAGUUCUAUAUGGGCGCUAACAUGGCGGCCGUUCUAAAACCUGGCCUAACUCUGAGUAUACAAAACAUUAAGAACACCAGCACUUUCCAUGACAGACUGACCAGGUGAAAGCUAUGAUCCCAUAUUAAUGUCACUUAUUAAUUCCCCUUCAAAUUAGUGUAGAUGAAAGGGAGGAGACAGGUUAAAGAAGGAUUUUUAAGCCUUGAGACAUGGAUUGUGAAAGUUAGCCAUUCAGAGGGUAUGAUAGUAGGUUCCAGCUGCAUCAGUUUGUGUCAAGAACUGCAACGCUGCUGGGUUUCUGUGUAUCAAGAAUGAUCCAUCACUCAAAGAACUUCCAGCCAACUAGACAACUGUGGGAAGCAUUGGAAUCAACACAGGCCAGCAUCCGUGUGGAACACUUUUGACAACUGGUGGAGUCCAUGACCCGAAGAAUUGAGGCUGUUCUGCGGGCAACUCAAUAUCAGGAAGGUGUUUUAAAAGGUUUGGUAUACUCAGUGUAUAUGGCUCUGGAUUGGCCUAUCACUCCAAUCAGUACUGCUGAAAAAGACAUGGUACUAUUUCAAGCGUCUCAUCUUUCUCAAUUAAUGUCAAGAGAAAUUACAGAUACAGGAUGUCCUUACUGUUUCUGCCAAUAAAUCAGGUGGGAGUCUUCCAAUGUUUUCCACAGUUUUGUCAACGCCUAAAAACAACAGAAGUUGAUUAGUAAGUAU
Molecule: long non-coding RNA, 3969 nt
Filed under: Salmo salar (Atlantic salmon)
Lineage: Eukaryota; Metazoa; Chordata; Actinopteri; Salmoniformes; Salmonidae
Description: lncRNA (ENSSSAG00000092400.1)
Source: RNAcentral